This 758-nucleotide long non-coding RNA is filed under the name Homo sapiens (human). RNAcentral describes it as "novel transcript". The record is from RNAcentral. Lineage: Eukaryota; Metazoa; Chordata; Mammalia; Primates; Hominidae.
UCCAGGUCAGAGUUCAGAGCUUUCAAAUCCCAACUUGCCCCUGGGGAUUACGCAGCUGAUGUUUACAUCGCCUAGUCAAGCCAACCGGCUCGCUCUUGUUUCAGCAAACCCUGACUUACGUCUCCUAUUUGACUUGAGGCGGCACAGUGGCCAAGUCGAUUGGCCGUGGCAAGUGACCCUCCCUGUGGCUGAAGUGUUCUGAGGACUGGCGAGAGAGGCGCGCCAUGCUUGCCCCCUGUUCAGGUUGGGAGCUUGGCUGCUUCCGUCUCUGUCUCCGUCAGGUCCGACUGUGGGCUGGCGCUGGGCGCUGGUCUUGCUGGGCUUGCCAAGCCAGGCCGUACAGCUCAGGUAGGGGCGAGCGCUGGCCCGGAUCGGAGACUGAGGUCCCUCCGCCUGGCCCGGCGCGCCGAACUCUGAAGGAGUGGACACUGCAGGUGAGCCCGUUCGGUCGGCUGCGGGCGCGGCUCCCGUGCCACCUGGCCGUGAGGCCCCUGGACCCCCUCACCUACCCGGAUGGCGACCGCGUGCUGGUCGCGGUGUGCGGCGUGGAGGGCGGCGUGCGGGGCCUGGACGGCCUGCAGGUGAAGUACGACGAGGAUCUGGAGGAGAUGGCCAUUGUGUCUGAUACUAUCCACCCCCAGGCGUCCGUGGAGGUGAACGCGCCCCUGAAGUUUGGCAAGUGAAGUGAAGUGAAAACGGGUUUGGGUCCCAGGGAACGCACAGUGAACUUAAUAAAUUUGGUCGACGUGCACUUUUAA